This 2072-nucleotide long non-coding RNA is filed under the name Olea europaea subsp. europaea. Lineage: Eukaryota; Viridiplantae; Streptophyta; Magnoliopsida; Lamiales; Oleaceae. The record is from RNAcentral.
UUUAUUUUAAAUCUUUCAAACUCUUCGAUAAUGUAUCGACACAUGUGCAACCUUUAUUUUAGCCAGUGUUUCCAUAGCAUUGCUCUUAUUUAUUUUUUUAUUUUUUUUUGAAUAAGCACUAACACAAACACAAAACCCACGACACAUCUCUCUUAAGCACACACGGUGCUUAUCUCUCAAACUCACGGCAUAGACUGGGUCACGGACCUUCAAUCCACUUCUACUUCACAUGGCAGCUUCCCAAAAAUUCACUUUACUGUUAUCUCAGAAUGCACGGCAAUUACCUCUGUUCAGAGUCAUCUUCGAAACUCAUCAAGAAGGCACUCAAUCGACAAUAGGCAUUGAGUUCAAAUAUACAUCCUUCAAUUUCAUUAUCCAAUCGUCAUCUAAGCAAAUAAAAUUCGAUGUAUGUGUAAUCCUACUUCUCUUUCUUUUGCUUCGAAACAUGGUGAUUAAUGUGUUUUUUUAAAAACAAUUGAAUGAUUAACGAGUGGGGAAUUAGAUAGAUGCGGAGAAUUUGAUUGUGAGUUUACUGUGUCAAAAUUGAAGCUUUGGUUCAGGUCCUAAUUUGUUUAAAAUUUAGGAAAAAAUUGAUUGCAUUCUAUGUGUUUGAUAAAAUGCCCAAAUAAAAAUUUAUGUCAAUUUUGGGUUCAUUUAGCAAUCGAAAUCAUUGGUACAUAGUUGUUUAACCCAAACAACCUCUGUUUGAUCUCGAAUUUGAAUAUGAAUAAGACAAAGUAUGACCUUUAAUAUGCUCGGAGAUUGUUCGGGAAAAGUUCACUAUUUUAUCACGUUUUUAGGUAGUGAAAGUUCUUGCUCUGCUUUGGGUUAAAACCCAAAAAUACCUCUUUCACAUUCUUUUAGGGAAUGUGAGCUACAUUUUCUUUAUCCAUUGGAUACCUGCUUAUACAAUGACAUUUUCUCGAGCAUGGCAUGAGUUUUCACAUUUUAGUACAUGAAAAUUGAUGUAGAGUUGUAUAGUUUGGAGGUAUUCUCCACUUUAUUUUACCCUUGUGUUUGUUUCCUAUUAUGUUAAUAUAUUCCUCAUUUAUAUCAAUAGGUAAAAUGCCAUCCAAUAGAAAUGCUACUGAUGAGUGCUCUACACUCAUGAUAUUUAUGCCACCUAAUUUGUUAUUUUGUUACUCUUGAGAGUGUUUUAGAACGUUUUAAUGUGUGUUUUUGAUGUUGUGAAGUAGAUUGAUGAAAUUGGAGGAAUUAAGCAAAAGUUGGCAAAAUUGGAGAGAAUGGGCCAAAUUGUACAAGAUCCAAAGUUCUGGGACUAAAAUGUAAAUAAUCCAAACUUGUAUCGAACCUUGCCAUCAAGAUCCGAGAGUGUUAGGAGUCAAUUGGAUGAAGAAAGAUGUCAAAGGGAUCAAAUUUAGGCAAAAUGUGAUCACAAAUCAAUUUCCAAUCGAAAAGUUAUGCUCCAGAAUUUCAGUCUCAUAUUGAGACCUAUUUCUGACUUAGUAAACGAUCAAAUUGGAAAAUGAUGUUUGAAGAAAAGUUAUAGCCCUUUGAGUUAACUUUUCAACGCAUCUUGAAUCAUCUCAAUCGGACAUCGAACGAAGAAGUUAUGGCAAAAAUACUGAAGGAGGCGAAAACUGUCAUUUCCACCCGAAGUGGGCGCCAUGGCGUCCAAGAUGCUGAAAACAAUAGUGAACGCAGCGCCGUGGCGUCGCCUGCGCAGAAAAACGGGAUUUUAUAUUUAUGAAAUCUUUUCUUGGCCCAACUCAACCCUAAUUCGUUCAAUAACUUCAAGAUACUAUAAAUACCAUUAAAAAGACCUAUUUUAAAGAGGGAUGGAAGGGGGUAAGAUUGAAGAAUUCAACCACACAAUUUGAAGGAAGCAAAAAUUGAAGAUAUCAAAAGGAAGGAGGAACAUCAUCAAGGAAAAAGAUUGAAGAUUUAUCCAAAAGACUAGUUUUUUCUAUCCUUUUCCUUAUAUUGUUUAUUAUAAUUUGUAUGAUUUUCAUUUAUUAUAUCAGGAACUAAACAAAUUAUUUAGGUGUUUGAUGUAGCCGAAUCGAGUAUGGUUUGAUGAUUUUAUAAUUAUUUCCUUGAUUUUUCCACAU